This 1447-nucleotide ribosomal RNA is filed under the name uncultured organism. Its description in RNAcentral is "SSU rRNA". It matches the Rfam family "Bacterial small subunit ribosomal RNA". The record is from RNAcentral.
CUACAGGCUUAACACAUGCAAGUCGAGGGGCAGCAUGGUCUUAGCUUGCUAAGGCCGAUGGCGACCGGCGCACGGGUGAGUAACACGUAUCCAACCUGCCGUCUACUCUUGGACAGCCUUCUGAAAGGAAGAUUAAUACAAGAUGGCAUCAUGAGUCCGCAUGUUCACAUGAUUAAAGGUAUUCCGGUAGACGAUGGGGAUGCGUUCCAUUGGAUAGUAGGCGGGGUAACGGCCCACCUAGUCUUCGAUGGAUAGGGGUUCUGAGAGGAAGGUCCCCCACAUUGGAACUGAGACACGGUCCAAACUCCUACGGGAGGCAGCAGUGAGGAAUAUUGGUCAAUGGGCGAGAGCCUGAACCAGCCAAGUAGCGUGAAGGAUGACUGCCCUAUGGGUUGUAAACUUCUUUUAUAAAGGAAUAAAGUCGGGUAUGGAUACCCGUUUGCAUGUACUUUAUGAAUAAGGAUCGGCUAACUCCGUGCCAGCAGCCGCGGUAAUACGGAGGAUCCGAGCGUUAUCCGGAUUUAUUGGGUUUAAAGGGAGCGUAGAUGGAUGUUUAAGUCAGUUGUGAAAGUUUGCGGCUCAACCGUAAAAUUGCAGUUGAUACUGGAUAUCUUGAGUGCAGUUGAGGCAGGCGGAAUUCGUGGUGUAGCGGUGAAAUGCUUAGAUAUCACGAAGAACUCCGAUUGCGAAGGCAGCCUGCUAAGCUGCAACUGACAUUGAGGCUCGAAAGUGUGGGUAUCAAACAGGAUUAGAUACCCUGGUAGUCCACACGGUAAACGAUGAAUACUCGCUGUUUGCGAUAUACUGCAAGCGGCCAAGCGAAAGCGUUAAGUAUUCCACCUGGGGAGUACGCCGGCAACGGUGGAACUCAAAGGAAUUGACGGGGGCCCGCACAAGCGGAGGAACAUGUGGUUUAAUUCGAUGAUACGCGAGGAACCUUACCCGGGCUUAAAUUGCAGAUGAAUUACGGUGAAAGCCGUAAGCCGCAAGGCAUCUGUGAAGGUGCUGCAUGGUUGUCGUCAGCUCGUGCCGUGAGGUGUCGGCUUAAGUGCCAUAACGAGCGCAACCCUUGUUGUCAGUUACUAACAGGUUCCGCUGAGGACUCUGACAAGACUGCCAUCGUAAGAUGUGAGGAAGGUGGGGAUGACGUCAAAUCAGCACGGCCCUUACGUCCGGGGCUACACACGUGUUACAAUGGGGGGUACAGAGGGCCGCUACCACGCGAGUGGAUGCCAAUCCCCAAAACCUCUCUCAGUUCGGACUGGAGUCUGCAACCCGACUCCACGAAGCUGGAUUCGCUAGUAAUCGCGCAUCAGCCACGGCGCGGUGAAUACGUUCCCGGGCCUUGUACACACCGCCCGUCAAGCCAUGGGAGCCGGGGGUACCUGAAGUGCGUAACCGCGAGGAGCGCCCUAGGGUAAAACUGGUGACUGGGGCUAAGUCAUAA